CGGACACUGGCUGCCCGGUCCCGAAUCCCCAAGGGCGACGUUUCUAUUUGGGAUCCACAACAGGUGCCUGAGAAACAAAGCCGCAGAUCGCUCCACCGCCGUGCGCAAGCCCCUGCUGAGGGGCCAGCGGCUCUCCCUCGGACCCAAGAACCUUAACACAAUUCCGAGGUGAAGGAAAUGGGGAGCACCAGGCCCGGCCUCAUGGAGACCUGGGAGUCAGAACCUGAGAUCUGGAAUCAGCCAUUUCUCCAACAAGUUUGUGAUUGAUGGUUUCCAUGGGUGUCCUGCCUGCAUCCCUUCCACCUGGCCAAUGGACUCACAUACAGGCUACUGUGAGUGUUGGGUGCUAAUGGCUCAUAGCCACCCUCUCCUUCAGGGACUCCCCUAGCCUAAAGCUUCCUCACACUCCCAACCCUAGCAGCCCAUAACCAAUGACUGAUGGAGGUGAGGGACAAAAGGCUUGCUUCAAGUUGAGACCAAGUCUAAAGUACAAUUCAUGUGCCAGAGUUCAAUAUUCAGAAGUGGAAUUGUUGGCUCAUAUGAUAAUGCUAUUUUUUAAUUUUUGAAGACCUACCAUACAGUUUUCUAUAGCAGUUGAACCAUUUUACAUUCCUACCAAGAGUGCACAAGGGUGUGUAAACUUAAUUUUAACACCAUAUUAGCUUAGGUAUCUGCUUUGGUUUGAAUGUUGCAUCCCACUCAAAAUUCAUGUGUUGAAAUUUAAUCCCCAAUGUGACAGUAUUAAGAGGAGGGGCUUUUUGGAAGUGAUUAAGUCAUGGGGGUUCACCGUCAUGAAUGGGUUAAUGCCACUAGAGAAAAAAAGGCUUCAAAGAGCUCCCUUGCUCUCUCUUGCUGUCUUUGCCUUCUGCCUUCCACCAGGUGAGGAUGCAGAAACAAGGUGUCAUCAAUGAGGAACGACACCUCACCAAAUACCAAACCUGCCUAUGCCUUGGUCUUGAACUGUCUAGGUUCCAGAACAGUGAGAAAAUAAAUUUCUAUUAUUUAUAAAUUACCCAGUCUCAGGUAUUCUGUUAUAGCAACACAGAUGGACUAAAACAGUAUCUGAUCCUCAUCAAUCUUAGUAAUACUGAGCUGCAUGUAAGAAAGGUCAAUGUAGAGUAGCUAGUGGUAUUCCCCAGCAUCAGAGUUAAUUAUCUACUUUACCAAUUGAUAAUUGAAUAGGAUGUAUGGAGGCUGCAGCAUGGGCUUGAUAGUAUUAGACCAAAGUGGACUUGCCAAUACGUUGGUACCCUAGGGUGGCCAACACACAUAAUGCAGGCUGUCAGCAGACUCUCAAAGAUGUAAAGCUACUCCCUGGGAAUGAGUCACACUGGGAUGAUGAAUAAUCCCUCCAGUCAAAUGGAAUCUACAUUAUUCUCCCUGGAAGUUCUCACCCAAUUCUCUAAGCACUGUCAGAGAUAGAGACUAAAUAAACAUAGGAUAAACACAGAAGACAAUAGACUGCAAGGAUGAGAGAUGUCUGCUUCUAUCAGACCUUAUGAACUUAGGCCAAUCACUUACUCACUGAGAUUUAGUUUUGUCAAACUAGAUCAAUAAUAUAUGCCAUACCCAACACACAGGGUGUCUGUUCAGACUAAAUGAGAUCAUGAAUAUGAGCAUUCUUUGAAAGCAUGAGGUGCUACUUAACUACAAAGUACUACUCCAAAGCUAUAAUUUUCCUGAAACAUUACUGUCAUUUCCAGAACUGAAUUCUCCUCUCCCAAAGCACAAACUAAGUUUUGUUCAAUUUCCAUAGAUUGAUUUUUUUUGAGUCACACUCAUCAGUUCACAACUAAAAUAAUAAAGAGAGAGAGAGAGACAAUAUUGAGAGAAAUCAGACCCUUAUCACUUACUUGGAGGUGGUUUAGAAGAGUAAAACAAAGGUGACGUUCGGAAAAAUUAAGAAGUAGUCUUAGGAAAAAGGGUUCAAAGAGACAGAACCAUGAGCCUAGAAAAGAAACAAUUUAUUGAUUUUCAAGUACAAUUAACUUGCUGCUAAUUAGAACUACUUAAUGGUAGGAGAUUGUAUCACUAAAAGUACUGAAGCAGAGAGGAAUCUAGCAUUAUGAAAACUGUUAAGUCAAGUAAGCUCUAAGAGUCCCUCAAGCCUUACUAUUCUUUGAUUCACAAAGAUUGAUAAUGACACGGUAGCAGGUGGCUAUGCUUCAUCCUCUCCACAAUAAGAAAUGGUCUUAAAUUGUAAGCCAUGGGAUUUAGGGCAAAAAUCAAGGAGUUGUUUCAGGCAGAGAUGGCUGUUAAAUUCCAAACAGAAUUCUGAGGUAAGCUAUGGCUGUGUCCUUUAAAAUAAAGGAAGCUAUACCCAUCUUACCAGAGCAAUUUAAGGAUUACUCUGGUUAGAGGUGAAAUAAUAAACUAGACCAUCUUUGAAGGGGCUUUCUUUUCAGUCCUUUGAUCUAUAGUUGUCCAUGAAAAUUUUCAAAGUAUAAAUGACUAUCCAAAUGUUUUCUUUAUGUUUCCUUGGUUUGGAGCUUAAAGAAUUUUUUUUUAAGACAACAGGUUGUCAUUACAUACAAGAAAGACAUAAAAAGAAUGGCAAGAGGUCUUGCUUCAGUCAAAAUACUGACCUCAAAAAAGAAUCAUGAGUUAUAAAGACAUGCUUAUUUUUCUCUAAGCAGAACACAUGAAUCCCUUUACCAAGUUAAUCUUGGUUUCAUGAGUUGUUUAUAGAGAAUAAACUGUUCAUUCAAUACAGUCUACCUACCUUGCACAUUCCUGUGCACCUGUGCAUUAAUUAUUCCUAUACCUUACUAUAAUUUAUUAUAGCAAGCCUAUAAUAAAUGAAAAAAAAUUUUUUUUUUGAGAUGGACUCUCGCUCUGUC
Molecule: long non-coding RNA, 2840 nt
Organism: Cercocebus atys (sooty mangabey)
Lineage: Eukaryota; Metazoa; Chordata; Mammalia; Primates; Cercopithecidae
Exons: 3
Source: RefSeq, a predicted model, not a curated record